UGUUGCAUUACAUAUGUUACAUAAAUACCUUUUCAGUAAUUACUUAGUGUGUUACAGUAGCUUUCUUAAGUAGUUAUUUCACAUCCUGAAAAUGAUAUCGCAUGACUGUAAUCUUUACAGGCGACAGCGGCUAUGCAUUAGAGCCAUUUUUGAUGACUCCAGUCCGCAACCCCACAACAGAACCGGAGGAGCGCUACAAUAGGGCCCAUACACGGACACGUGUCGUUGUGGAGCAAACCUUUGGAAUACUAAAGAGCCGGUUCAGGUGCCUUCACAAAUCUGGGGGUGCCUUGCAGUAUGCUCCCAUGAAGUGCCUCAACAUCAUCACCUCAUGUUUACUGCUGCACAACCGCUGUGUCCAGCGGGGUAUUCCACUUCCCCAGCGGGUACAAAUUUAUAUUUCGCUUGAAGAGGAUGAGGAAGAGCAGGAUGCUCCUACUGCUGUUCUUGGAGCAGCUGCUGGCCGAGGAGCUGGAAGAGCAGUACGUGAAGCAAUAAUUGCUAAUUUUUUUGGGUGAAAUGGUGAGGUGUGUAUUUUAUCGGUCACUCUUGAGUAAGAGCUCAGUAAGUUUGUCACACAUGAGUCCCCUUUUCUGGAAUCCAUACUGUUUACUUGUUAUUAAAUUAUGCUCUUCUAGAAAUCUCGUCUAUUGUUUCUUUAUCACUUUUUCACAUAUUUUACAUAGUACACUGGUCAAUUACACGGGUCUGUAGUUCAGGGGUUCUUCCUUUCUUCCACUUUUGUAUAUAGGGACCACUUCGGCCCUCCGCCACUCCUUAGGCACUGUACCAGUAUUUAUCGGUGUGUUGGUGUGUGUGUGUGUGUGAGAGAGAGAGAGAGAGAGAGAGAGAGAGAGAGAGAGAGAGAGAGAGAGAGAGAGAGAGAGAGAGAGAGAGAGAUGAAUGUAUUAAAAUAUUUGCAAGUAUUUUCUCUUUUGAGACCUUACUCAAAGUAAGUUAAACAUGUGACAAUGUUCUGUAUUUUAGACUAAU
Eriocheir sinensis (Chinese mitten crab) is the source of this 993-nucleotide long non-coding RNA. RefSeq lists it as uncharacterized. The transcript has 3 exons. Lineage: Eukaryota; Metazoa; Arthropoda; Malacostraca; Decapoda; Varunidae. The record is from RefSeq and is a predicted model, not a curated record.